UUCAAUGCGCAUGCUUUAACAUGCAGUCGGACGGCAGCACAGAGAAGCUUGCUUCUUGGGUGGCGAGUGGCGAACGGGUGAGUAACAUAUCGGAACGUACCGAGUAAUGGGGGAUAACUAAUCGAAAGAUUAGCUAAUACCGCAUAUUCUCUGAGGAGGAAAGCAGGGGACCUUCGGGCCUUGCGUUAUUCGAGCGGCCGAUAUCUGAUUAGCUAGUUGGUGGGGUAAAGGCCUACCAAGGCGACGAUCAGUAGCGGGUCUGAGAGGAUGAUCCGCCACACUGGGACUGAGACACGGCCCAGACUCCUACGGGAGGCAGCAGUGGGGAAUUUUGGACAAUGGGCGCAAGCCUGAUCCAGCCAUGCCGCGUGUCUGAAGAAGGCCUUCGGGUUGUAAAGGACUUUUGUCAGGGAAGAAAAGGCUGUUGCUAAUACCGACAGCUGAUGACGGUACCUGAAGAAUAAGCACCGGCUAACUACGUGCCAGCAGCCGCGGUAAUACGUAGGGUGCGAGCGUUAAUCGGAAUUACUGGGCGUAAAGCGAGCGCAGACGGUUACUUAAGCAGGAUGUGAAAUCCCCGGGCUCAACCUGGGAACUGCGUUCUGAACUGGGUGACUAGAGUGUGUCAGAGGGAGGUAGAAUUCCACGUGUAGCAGUGAAAUGCGUAGAGAUGUGGAGGAAUACCGAUGGCGAAGGCAGCCUCCUGGGAUAACACUGACGUUCAUGCUCGAAAGCGUGGGUAGCAAACAGGAUUAGAUACCCUGGUAGUCCACGCCCUAAACGAUGUCAAUUAGCUGUUGGGCAACUUGAUUGCUUAGUAGCGUAGCUACGCGUGAAAUUGACCGCCUGGGGGAGUACGGCCGCAAGAUUAAAACUCAAAGGAAUUGACGGA
This 892-nucleotide ribosomal RNA is filed under the name uncultured bacterium. Its description in RNAcentral is "bacterial SSU rRNA". It matches the Rfam family "Bacterial small subunit ribosomal RNA", at positions 29 to 917 of the family's 1533-position model. The record is from RNAcentral.